GCACUGUUGAAGAAUCCUACAAUAGGAUGAAACGGCCGUCCAGUGC
Molecule: non-coding RNA, 46 nt
Organism: Schistosoma curassoni
Lineage: Eukaryota; Metazoa; Platyhelminthes; Trematoda; Strigeidida; Schistosomatidae
Source: Rfam